CUUUGCUGGUCCUCGCCUCACAGAGAGAAACGUGCCAAAGAACUUCGCGGUGUUCUGGCUGAUGCUUGCCACUUCUGCUGACUUGUGUCGACUCAGUGAAGCCUUGCGGUUCCUGCUGGAUGGAGCUGCUGCUGCUGAUCUGUGUUUAGUGUUUGCUAUUGGACUGGACUGCUGGUAUCCUGACAAUGAAGAAUGGAAUCUCCCCGCAAAGAACUACUUCCAAACAGGCCAACAUCUCCCUUGUCCUAUAAACCUUCUUGUCCUCCUACCUCCGCCUCAGGUCCCCGCCCAUUGGAUGGUGCUGUGCAUGCUUGUACUGAGUCUUCCCAUCAGUUAACCCGAUGUAGAAACUCUCAAAGAAGAAAUGCUUUCCAAUAUCUUCUCUUCCUAAGCCCUGCUCUGCCAGAACACAGAACCCCAAAUCCCUCGCCUGUGU
Long non-coding RNA from Mus caroli (Ryukyu mouse), 436 nucleotides. RefSeq lists it as uncharacterized. NCBI's taxonomy places the organism in Eukaryota, Metazoa, Chordata, Mammalia, Rodentia, Muridae. The record is from RefSeq and is a predicted model, not a curated record.